CCCUUUGUGGUGCAGUUGGUAUUACAGGCUGUAAUGGAGUUUAUGGAUCACCGGUUAGUCACCAGUUCGACUCUGGUCGAAGGGA
Non-coding RNA from Peziza echinospora, 85 nucleotides. The record is from the annotation of a GenBank genome assembly. Lineage: Eukaryota; Fungi; Ascomycota; Pezizomycetes; Pezizales; Pezizaceae.